CUGGCGGUCUUUGGCCGUCCGAGUUGUAAUUUAGAGAAGCGUCUUCCGCGCCGGACCGUGCACAAGUCUCCUGGAAUGGAGCGUCAUAGAGGGUGAGAAUCCCGUCUUUGGCACGGAUGCCUGGGGCUUCUGCGAUGCGCUCUCGAAGAGUCGAGUUGUUUGGGAAUGCAGCUCAAAAUGGGUGGUGAACUCCAUCUAAAGCUAAAUAUUGGCGAGAGACCGAUAGCGAACAAGUACCGUGAGGGAAAGAUGAAAAGCACUUUGGAAAGAGAGUGAAACAGUACGUGAAAUUGUUGAAAGGGAAACGCUUGAAGUCAGUCGCGUCGACCGAGACUCAGCCUUGCCUCGGCAUGGUGUACUUCUCGGCACGACGGGCCAGCAUCAAUUUUGUGCCUCGGAUAAUGGCAGAGGAAAGGUGGCACCUUUACGGGUGUGUUAUAGUCUCCUGUCGCAUGCGAGGGGUGGGAUUGAGGAACUCAGCGCGCACCUCAGUGUCGGGGCUUCGGCCCACGUCACGCGCUUAGGAUGCUGGCGUAAUGGCUUUAAACGACCCGUCUUGAAACACGGACCAAGGAGUCUAACUCACACGCGAGUGUUUGGGUGGAAAACCCCGUGCGCGUAAUUAAAGUGAAAGUUGGGACCUCUGUCGUGGAGGGGCACCGACGCCCGGACCAGACCUUCUGUGACGGAUCUGCGGUAGAGCGUGUGUGUUGGGACCCGAAAGAUGGUGAACUAUGCCUGAAUAGGGUGAAGCCAGAGG
This 760-nucleotide ribosomal RNA is filed under the name Lactarius cf. brunneohepaticus. Its description in RNAcentral is "partial large subunit ribosomal RNA". It matches the Rfam family "Eukaryotic large subunit ribosomal RNA", at positions 122 to 858 of the family's 3401-position model. The record is from RNAcentral. Lineage: Eukaryota; Fungi; Basidiomycota; Agaricomycetes; Russulales; Russulaceae.